UACGUAGGGUGCAAGCGUUAUCCGGAAUUAUUGGGCGUAAAGAGCUCGUAGGCGGUUUGUCGCGUCUGCUGUGAAAUUCCGAGGCUCAACCUCGGGCUUGCAGUGGGUACGGGCAGACUAGAGUGCGGUAGGGGAGAUUGGAAUUCCUGGUGUAGCGGUGGAAUGCGCAGAUAUCAGGAGGAACACCGAUGGCGAAGGCAGAUCUCUGGGCCGUAACUGACGCUGAGGAGCGAAAGGGUGGGGAGCAAACAGG
This 253-nucleotide ribosomal RNA is filed under the name uncultured bacterium. Its description in RNAcentral is "partial 16S ribosomal RNA". It matches the Rfam family "Bacterial small subunit ribosomal RNA", at positions 524 to 776 of the family's 1533-position model. The record is from RNAcentral.